AAGUUAUUGUGAUCAUUGCAAAGUCCUUGAACUGACUGUACCAUGGAUUACACCGUAGUCAAGCCAUGGUGACCAUUGUGACUUGCACAUACAACUCCAGAUGGCCUGGAACCAGAAAGUCUGAGGUAGCUAGAAAACUUCAAAAGGAGAAUAGCUAGCUCCUGCAGUGCCUGAUUAACCAAGCUUGCAACAUUUUGCCAUUGUUCCUGCCUCAACUGAUAAGCCAACCUUGUGACACUGAGCCUUGGACCUUUUGGCACCUCCCACCAGUGGAACCCCCCGACCCCAGCUUGCAGAAACCACCCUGAACUCUAACUUCUGUAAUUUUCCACUGCCUACCCCAAACCUAUGCAACCAACUCCUAUCCCACUACCCUCCACUGACUCUCUUUUUGGACUCAGCCUACUAAUACCCAGGUGAAUAAUUUCUUCAUUCAGAGAAUGCCUAACAUUUGGUGCUGAAACCCAGGACAGGGGUAUUCCCUGGGGAGACCAGCCCCCUGUCCCCACUCUUCCUGUGAAGAGAUCCACCUGCGAACUCAGCGCAUCAGACCAGCCUGAAAACCUUCUCGUCACCUUCAGAUCAGGGCCUCCAUUAAAAGUCAGACUGCCCAACUCACGUCACUGCUCCCAGAGUUACUGGAGCUCCCAGACCAAAUUCUUCCCAGUCUCCUCAGCUUGGUGGCUGAAGACUGAUGCUGCCUGAACAUCUUGGAGGGCCCCUGGACCAUCAUGGACACUGAACUUCAGGUACCUCUUAUGGUGGAAGAUUGCUACAAAGAAGAACUGAUGCCAGCAACACUGAAACUGUUCCAAAAAAUCAAGGAGAAGGAAUUUAUCCCUAACUCAUUCUACAAGGUCAGCAUCAUUAUGAUAUGAAAUUCAGGCAGAUAUAUACAUAUAUUAUAUAUAAUUUUAUAUAUAAAUAUUAUAUAUAUAAUAUAUGUAGAUUAUGUAUAAUUUUAUAUAUAAAUAUUAUAUAUAAUAUAUAGAGAUUAUAUAUAAUUGUAUAUAUAAA
This 1017-nucleotide long non-coding RNA is filed under the name Callithrix jacchus (white-tufted-ear marmoset). RNAcentral describes it as "lncRNA (ENSCJAG00000080595.1)". Lineage: Eukaryota; Metazoa; Chordata; Mammalia; Primates; Cebidae. The record is from RNAcentral.